This 21-nucleotide microRNA is filed under the name Prunus persica (peach). RNAcentral's name for it is "ppe-miR6288a". Lineage: Eukaryota; Viridiplantae; Streptophyta; Magnoliopsida; Rosales; Rosaceae. The record is from miRBase by way of RNAcentral.
GAAAAUGACAAGUGGCUAGUU